Molecule: long non-coding RNA, 3302 nt
Organism: Alosa alosa (allis shad)
Lineage: Eukaryota; Metazoa; Chordata; Actinopteri; Clupeiformes; Clupeidae
Exons: 2
Source: RefSeq, a predicted model, not a curated record
UACAAAAUCUAUUCUACCUAUCUUCUAUUCUAAGCUAAAGUUAAUAUUAAUAUAAAAACAAAUCAAUCUAAAUCGCUAUGUAUCGCUAAAAAUGCUGUGUCUUGUCUGUCUCGUCUUUAUCACCACCACUGUCUGCGCAGAUUGUUGGUAGCUGGGGCUAUUAUAGUUGCGGCUGGUUGGCAAGCACGUGACUUUUAGAUGUGCAGUAUUCUGUUAAAUAAUCUGAUAAGUGAAGUGCUCACAUGGCACUGAACUCUUCAAUUUACCCCCACAUCAUUUCGCUGAAUUGUAACGGGCUACACCUCUGCCUUUGCUAACUAAGUGGGUUAGGUUGAUCUAGCACCUAAGCAAUGGAAGGCAAUACCAUCAAAUGCAUUACAACCAUUUGUUCAGUAAAUAUCUUUCUUAUUCCAGAGGUGAGGAAAAUGACUUGCCUCUUUCAUGCAUCUCCUUUGUCCAUCUCCUGUGUUCGGGGAAUGUCAUUUGAAAUCACUCUUCAGGUCGUGAUGUGAUUAGAAAAUGCAUAAAUUAACCUUCAUAGUUCUUUUCAAUUGAGACUCAUUCAGUUCAUAUUUUUUAAAUGAAGAAAGACAGUGAGUGCUUCUGGUUUCUCUCUUCAAAUAAACUAGGGCUGCAGCUAUGAGUCUUUUUGGAAUUGAGUAUGCUAGUGAUUAUUUCAUUGAAUAACAAAAUAUGUAUGUAUUUAUUUGUUAAAAUAUAUUUUGGAAAAAUUGAUUAAUAUGCACAAUAAAUGUAAAUCUGUAAACUAGCCCUAGUCACUUCAAAGUAAAUUGAUUUAUUUUAUGUAUAUUUGUGCAUCUGCAGCAUCUACCUUUCCUACCAAAUUACCUCAUUUACAAAAAAUAACUGCAGUUUUCACAGUGAUUGUACAAUACAGUGCAGUACUUAAGUAUUUUCAUGUUUAAAAUACAGAAUUUCUGCAGUAAAGUACAGCAGGCUACUACUAUGCAGUACAAUGCAGUUUUGACGUCCUUGUCUUUUCUAGGCUUGAAAUUAUCGGGUGGUAUGAUGGUUUCUUUGGUGUCAUCACGUCAACUUAAUUCUGAAAGUGGUGUGCGCGUUGGUAAUAACAGUCCGUGUGAUACAAUAACCCCUGAGCUGAGCAGGCCACAUCACAAGUGAUGGAAAUUAAGCGAAGCUUCAAGGCAGAUAAUUUUCAUCAAUCAUUUUUUGUAAUUUAAUUAUUUUGAGUUACUCAAGUAAUCAAUUCAGCCCUAAAAUAAACAUUUAACAAUUAUUUUUAUAAUCAGCUUUCCAUCACUACCAUCUCCAGUUGUUGUGGAUAUUGUGUUACCUAUUUCAAUCACAACUAAAAUAAUAAUCAUGUGUUACCAAGCUGGACCUAAUGUGUUAAGUUCAAUGUGUUAAGUUGUGGAAUGUGUAAGUAAUGUGUUCAAAGUUCAAUUCACUGUUAAUAGGAAAUGAAAUUGGUUCAUGCAUAACACUGCUUUUGACAUUGUAUCCUUAAAAUUAUUAUCUUUUAUGAUUCCUUUUAUGAGUAUUUGUGAUGCACACCACACUACUCUGUGAAGUGCUCCUGACCUUCAGGAGGAACAAGGAUCAACUGGAGGUCAACCUGGGAAGAGGAUACUUGAAGCUGUUGCUGCCACUGAAUAGCGCAACCCUGUUAAAGGACUCGAGCUGGAAGUCAAGUGUGCCGAUCUUGGCAGACCUGUGCCACUGUGAGGUGUUGAGUGCGUCUUGGGAGGGCUGACAUCUCUUCACAGCAAGAACCUUGAUUGGUGCAGAGCUGAAGCAUCACACAUAAAGGAGCACAAAAUCACCUUUAGAGGUUUACCUCUGGUCACUCCAUAGACUCCUGAAAUUAACGUGUUAAACCCUCGCAGGGAUGACAAAAUCAGAAAUUCAAAUGUUUGUUCUACACACUUUUGUCCUCUGUCUUUGAGUGGAUAUUCUUAUUACACCAUCCUGGUGUAAGUCAUACAGAAGGGGCUGUAUACUUGGAGGUUAAGUCAAGGUAUCAGGCACCUUUGACCAGCACUCAACAACCUCUUGACCACCUGUUGUAAUGGUUUAGGUUUAGAUUAGGCUUAGGUAAUAAAAGCACACCCAUGGAGAACAAGAAGUUUUCAAAAAUCUCUUGUGGAAGAAUGUGCUUCAGAACCACAGGCCCACUGUAAACUAUGAAUUGCCUUAGCUCUGUGGCCUUCCAUCUAUCUAUUUCUGUAAAUACAGGCGAUGCAACUUGCCAUUAUGUUAGUUAGCAAGUUAGCUCUGGUGUAGCAAAAAUCAAAGUGUGCAGCACUCGCGUAUCGGAGAUCACAGUAUCCGCUCGAAGGCAGAGGACAAAAGUGUUUAGAGCAAACGUUUGCAUUUUUGAUUUUGACGUCGCCGUGAGUUCAGGGAUUUGGGAUUAUCCCACCUGCUAUGUUAUUUUCAGUUAGUGAUCACUGUUGAUCUUGCAACAUGUACACCAACCGUGAUUUUGGUGUGUAGGCCAAAUAUGUUCCUCAAAGUUCUCUUUUUCACACACUCAAAACUAUUGUUCUUUUUCAAGUGUUCCAUUCAUUCACCUCUUUAUCAGAUGGCACAGGUGUGGAAGGUUGUAGAAUUCCGGGACAAAGCCACUGCCAUAGUGCCAGGUAGUUGGUUGGAGGAGGCAGGCGAUUUUUGGAACUGUUACUGGUCUGGCUCCUAUGACCACUGGCGGCUCCAAAAAUCCGUUUUAAACCACCUUCCACCAGGUCAAAACUGGGAUGUUUUUGAUGACGUGAGGGUCUUGGUAGGCUGUGGUAAGGAAACAUACUGCAUUAUUACUGCAGUUCCUAUGAGCACAGCAAUAUUGACAGAAGAGCAGUAACUGCAACAAGAUUAAUUUCAAAAGUCGCUGCCCAUUGCUUAAGUUUGUGUCGUAGACUCAUCUCCCCAGACUCACUUUCAUCAGAGCUGGAUGACUACUAAAAUCUUCUGUCUGUACUGUCACUGACACCACUGUUUGUACUGUGUUGACGAGGUCUGUUCGCAUAGUCUAAAGCUGCCUCACAAAGUGGUAGAUGUGAUGAGCUUUCACUAAGGGGGACCUUUUCGGCCUGACUAAUUGUCACAUUAAAUUGCUGCAAAAUCUCAUUCUCUGUCUCUCUUGCGUUUGACAUAAUAUAUAACAAUAAGAGGCCAUUUUUGUGUGUAUUGGCCACUAUUGAAAAAGAAAUUAGUUUUGCUUGGUAUGCUGUAUUGUUUGGUUUACUAUACCUCUUCAUUAGCUGUACUUGUCUGUAUGUUUUUAUUUAUUUUAUUUUAAAUAAACUAUUUUUUUCUGUUUA